GCCCAGAGUCAAACGGGCGGACCCGCAAAGUCGGUCGGCGGAAUUCAGCCCGGCCGGGGGACGGGGGCUGGCGCGUGUGGAUCUCACGACCGCCGUGCCAGCCUUCCGCUCUCCCGCCGGGUGCACUUUCUGUCGGCCGAGCGCCACGACCGGCUCCCGGCCGGCCAGAGCCCGGCGAGGAAGGUGUGCGGGCGUUCCUCCCUCGGGGGGUCGUCCGCCGUUACAGCCYCGCCGCGGAUCGGGCCCGGCUUGGGGGCCGAGGAACCACCGCGCUUCGUCUGGGGCCGUCGUUCCGAGGGUGGGGU
Molecule: ribosomal RNA, 305 nt
Filed under: Gymnodoris sp. P VLK-2021
Lineage: Eukaryota; Metazoa; Mollusca; Gastropoda; Nudibranchia; Gymnodorididae
Description: partial large subunit ribosomal RNA
Source: RNAcentral